RNAcentral lists this long non-coding RNA (280 nucleotides) under Setaria viridis. RNAcentral describes it as "long non-coding RNA (SVIR_LNC001453)". Lineage: Eukaryota; Viridiplantae; Streptophyta; Magnoliopsida; Poales; Poaceae. The record is from RNAcentral.
GAACAUUAUUCUUGGAGUGUGCUUGUCAUCAACCUUGCUUCAUAGCUAGUAGCGAGGAGCCUAUAUAUUCUCUAGUUUGAAGAUCAUUAAGAUAAUGUUGCAUAAAAAGAUGGAAGAUGAAUAUUUCACCAAUAAUUUGCUAGUGUGGAUAAAGGAGAAACCCAGAGAUAAUUUAUUUUCUAAAAAUGAUUUAUAUGGCUAAAUAAUGCUAUAUAUAUAUAUAUAUAUAUUUCCUAUCUGAAAUCUGGAUAAAAUUAGUGCAUAACUCUGCGCCCCCCCC